This 304-nucleotide ribosomal RNA is filed under the name uncultured bacterium. RNAcentral describes it as "partial 16S ribosomal RNA". It matches the Rfam family "Bacterial small subunit ribosomal RNA", at positions 506 to 807 of the family's 1533-position model. The record is from RNAcentral.
CAGCAGUAGCCGCGGUAAUACGGAGGGUGCAAGCGUUAAUCGGAAUUACUGGGCGUAAAGCGCACGCAGGCGGUCUGACAAGUCAGAUGUGAAAUCCCCGGGCUUAACCUGGGAACUGCAUUUGAAACUGUCAGGCUGGAGUCUUGUAGAGGGGGGUGGAAUUCCAGGUGUAGCGGUGAAAUGCGUAGAGAUCUGGAGGAAUACCGGUGGCGAAGGCGGCCCCCUGGACAAAGACUGACGCUCAGGUGCGAAAGCGUGGGGAGCAAACAGGAUUAGAUACCCCGGUAGUCCCUGUCUCUUAUAC